ACGCAUCGAAAGAUGUGCUAAUACCGCAUAAUAUCUGAGGAAGAAAGUGGGGGAUCGAAAGACCUCAUGCUUUUGGAGCGGCCGAUGUCUGAUUAGCUUGUUGGUGAGGUAAUGGCUUACCAAGGCAACGAUCAGUAGUUGGUCUGAGAGGACGACCAGCCACACUGGGACUGAGACACGGCCCAGACUCCUACGGGAGGCAGCAGUGGGGAAUUUUGGACAAUGGGCGCAAGCCUGAUCCAGCAAUGCCGCGUGAGUGAAGAAGGCCUUCGGGUUGUAAAGCUCUUUCAGUUGAGAAGAAAGAAUUCUGGUUAAUACCUGGAAUUUAUGACGGUAUCGACAGAAGAAGCACCGGCUAACUACGUGCCAGCAGCCGCGGUAAUACGUAGGGUGCAAGCGUUAAUCGGAAUUACUGGGCGUAAAGGNUGCGCAGGUGGUUUUGUAAGUCAGAUGUGAAAUCCCCGGGCUUAACCUGGGAAUUGCGUUUGAAACUACNAGACUAGAGUGUGGCAGAGGGGGGUGGAAUUCCAUGUGUAGCAGUGAAAUGCGUAGAUAUAUGGAGGAACNUCGAUGGCGAANNCAGCCCUCUGGGUUAACACUGACACUCAUGCACNAAAGCGUGGGGAGNAAACAGGAUUANAUNCCCUGGUAGUCCACGCCCUAAACUAUGUCAACUAGUUGNUGGGUCUUAUUAGACUUAGUAACNAA
This 708-nucleotide ribosomal RNA is filed under the name uncultured bacterium. RNAcentral's name for it is "bacterial SSU rRNA". It matches the Rfam family "Bacterial small subunit ribosomal RNA", at positions 146 to 850 of the family's 1533-position model. The record is from RNAcentral.